RNAcentral lists this ribosomal RNA (743 nucleotides) under uncultured bacterium. Its description in RNAcentral is "bacterial SSU rRNA". It matches the Rfam family "Bacterial small subunit ribosomal RNA", at positions 115 to 890 of the family's 1533-position model. The record is from RNAcentral.
GCGUAGGUAUCUAUCCUCGGGUGGGGGACAACCACGGGAAACUGUGGCUAAUACCGCAUGAUGACUGAGGUCCAAAGGCGCAAGUCGCCUGGGGAGGAGCCUGCGUCCGAUUAGCUUGUUGGUGGGGUAACGGCCUACCAAGGCUCCGAUCGGUAGCUGGUCUGAGAGGAUGAUCAGCCACACUGGGACUGAGACACGGCCCAGACUCCUACGGGAGGCAGCAGUGGGGAAUAUUGGACAAUGGGCGAAAGCCUGAUCCAGCAAUGCCGCGUGGGUGAAGAAGGUCUUCGGAUUGUAAAGCCCUUUCGGCGGGGACGAUGAUGACGGUACCCGCAGAAGAAGCCCCGGCUAACUUCGUGCCAGCAGCCGCGGUAAUACGAAGGGGGCUAGCGUUGCUCGGAUUGACUGGGCGUAAAGGGCGCGUAGGCGGCUUGUACAGUCAGACGUGAAAUUCCUGGGCUCAACCUGGGGGCUGCGUUUGAUACGUAUGGGCUUGAGUUCGGAAGAGGGUCGUGGAAUUCCCAGUGUAGAGGUGAAAUUCGUAGAUAUUGGGAAGAACACCGGUGGCGAAGGCGGCGACCUGGUCCGAUACUGACGCUGAGGCGCGAAAGCGUGGGGGAGCAAACAGGAUUAGAUACCCUGGUAGUCCACGCCGUAAACGAUGUGCGCUGGAUGUUGGGUGACAUAGUCAUUCAGUGUCGUAGCUAACGCGAUAAGCGCACCGCCUGGGGAGUACGGCCGCA